AGGAGAUUGUGGAAGUAGUGCCACUGGUAUCUGAAGUGCUGGAACGAUGGCCUGCCCUGUUUCUUCCAAAUGAGGUAAAAUAAAGAAGGUUGAAGUGGAAUUAAUUGGCUGUAGAUGAUCUUUAAUACAUGUUAUUGUUCUGUUGCUUGUAAAUGUCUGUUGUAAGCCAUUUGAAGCCAGUUAGACAAUGUUACAACCAAGACCUGUUUUAUUUCUAUCAACAGUUAUGUAAUGAGUUCAAAUGCAUCACCAGUGUGGACCUCCUUGAGACAUUCAGAGCAUCAAUACACUAGCACACUCCACAACUCCUCAAGCUAUACAGAGCAAGAAAGGGGGCAUUUGGAACAGAAAUGGAAGAGCUUCUCAACAAUCUUGAUCAGCAGGUAACUUGUUAAUGUCAAAGUUACCAAUAGAUAGAUGGUUUUAAAAAUAGAUUUAUCAGAGCCAUUUGCUAUUUUAUUUUCUAUAAAGAACAUUUUCGGAAGAUAUUUUUGAAGGAUUAUGACAAUGUAUGUCAAGUGUUCACUAGCUGAUUAGAACGAUUUUGGUUCUGAACUUACUGCAUACAAUACUGAUUUCCUAUUUAAGCCAUCUAAUUUGAUUAAUUGGCUCUUAAGCAGAGGCUCUAUGACUUCAAACAUACAUGCAAACUCGUGACAAAAUUGAAUUAAUAACAGUGCAUUACAAUAUUUUUGUUUUUGUUUUGUACCCAUUUUUUUUAGACCACAAAUAUAUCACAGAAAACAAACCAUCCUGGAAGGUCGCCCCAUUUUUCGCCGUGAAGAUUCCUCUGCACUUUUUAAAACAUGCCUGGACAAGACUCCAGAGGACAGACAGACCAGAGGGAUGAAGGUGGGAAUCCUUAUUGUAAUUGAAGAUGAUAUAUAUAUAAUGGAUUUUUAUUUUUAUAAUGUCCUGAAAAUUGCCCAAUUUGGGCGUUUUAAAAGUCAAAAUCAUGAAUUGUGAAACAAAGGUUCCUCCAUAAUCCAUUCUUCUUGUUCAGAUCCUCUGCUUACAAAAAAAAAAGUUAUAUUCCACGCUUGUGGCAUGGAGUGAUAGAAUGGAGUCAAAUUGCUCAAGUCCAGUUCAU
This is a long non-coding RNA of Cyprinus carpio (common carp), 1090 nucleotides long. NCBI's taxonomy places the organism in Eukaryota, Metazoa, Chordata, Actinopteri, Cypriniformes, Cyprinidae. The record is from Ensembl.